Molecule: long non-coding RNA, 5677 nt
Filed under: Brassica napus (rape)
Lineage: Eukaryota; Viridiplantae; Streptophyta; Magnoliopsida; Brassicales; Brassicaceae
Description: long non-coding RNA (BNAP_LNC000059)
Source: RNAcentral
UUCAUCCUAUGGAACAUCUAAGACCAUAUGAUGAUCCCUCAAACAACAUGUGGAGUCUUGGUGAAAAUAGUGAGUUUCAUGCAUAUCCAUUCAUAGAAGGUGUUGUUGGUCCUAGUGAACCAAUAAUAUCUACAUUCGGUGAAGAAGGUUUCCCAAGAAACGAGCUCUCGUUAAGUCUUGCCACAGAUGUUUCUAAUGAAAGCUCGGAGAUAAGCCUUUGCGCUGCUACUAAAUCUACAAGAAUAACCUCAGAGCAAGCUUCUUCCAGCAGCAAACACGUUUCUAAUAACGUCUCUCAAGUGAUAUUUGGCUCAAAGUACCUUCACUCCGUUCAAGAAAUACUAUCUCAUUUCGCCACAUACUCCCUCAACGGCAUAGAGACUAAUCCUCAAUGCUACUUUUCUUCUCGAGGAACCGAGUCAGAGGGUACAAACUCAGCCUUUGUCUCAUGUUAUGAGAAUCUAAACGAGUUUCUUGAUGGCGGUUCGCAAAGAAGAAGAAGCUAUGGAUGAGAUCCCUCUCCGACCAUACUGCAGAUCUCGACAGACACAGACAAUACUACAAUCAUGAAUAGAGAAAUAUAGAGGGAGGAUCCGGAAUAAAAAGAAUAAUUCUUAGCUUAACCUUGGCCAAAACUGUUUGCGAGUGCUUCAUCAUCAUCUUUUGUUCCGUUGAGUGCUUCCUUUGGGUGUAAAAUUAGGGCUUCGCUUUCCUGUGUUAGUUUAUUUACUUGUGGCCCAAAUCAAAGCACUACCCGUGAAUCGAUUUUUGUAAUAAAUAUAUCUUCUAUGUAUUUUAUAACUCUACAAAUUGACCAUGUUUGUUCUUUUACGUUUUUAUAAAAUUUCUUUUAAAAAACUCUGUUUUCUUUUUUUUUUUACUAAAAAAAAAAUCUGUUUUCUUAGCAAAUUACUUUCAUAAGUUAAUGAAAAUUUGGUAAAGCCAUUCACAAAUACUACGUUGUUAAACGGAUUUUCUUAUUUUAAUUUUAAUUUUAACGAUUUUAACUACUUUUUAAAAAAAUGUGUGUUUCAAUUUUUUCUUGUUAUGAAUUCAUUACUUAAUAAUGUUCAAGUGAUUGUAGCCAACUAAAAUUCUGAAUCCAAAACCGGCUCAUUCUACAAAAAUGGCCCAAAUCAAAAUAGCAUAAAUACUUCUCUUAUUGCUAAUGCUCAAGAUGAUCUCGAUAUCCCCAAGUCUCUUGCAAAGAAGGUGCCUGCGGUUGAGGCACCAAGUGCUGAAGAUCAUCACAGUGGGAACAAUAUUCAUCAGACCAUGAGCCAGUGAGACGAAUGUUCCAAAACUCUCUUCACCCGUAAGAAAAAUCUCUUAUUGACCCAAGGAGCAAGUGUUAUAAUAAGUGUAUCUUGUUUGUUGUGUUUGUGUGUGAUGAAAGGUAUCAAACUGGUUUAAAUGCGAGGGUAAGGCUAUGGAAGCCAAUGAUAGAAGACAUGUACGCAGAAAUGAACAAGAGGAAGCUGAGUAACACUCACCUUCAAGGUGGCAAUGGAGGAAGUCUUAUUAGAGUGCCAAAGUCUGUAAUGAUGAGCCAAGAAAGGGACAAAAUAAGAGAAUGAUUGUGUUACAACUUUGUUUACGCAAAAUCGCUACUUAUAAUUGUCAGAGGUUUUAAAGCACUUUACUACGUAUUAAGAUUGUUUUUAACUUUUUUGUUAUAAUUUAUUUUAUUUUUUUUGGUGUAAAUGUUAAACUCAUACCAAAGGCUUUUUGUUUUUUACAGAGUUGUUGCUUAGCAACUUAUUACAUUAGAAGGGGGAUAGAAGACAUUUGCUGUUAUAAUUGUAAUUGUAUAUACAGCUUGUUCUUUUAUCUCAUAGUAUAUUUGCUGUUUUGUAAUUUGCAUCAUGUGUUAUCAACUUAUCAUCGUCUAAAAAUGUAACAAGUUCUUGAUUGUCUUCGGCCAAACUUACGAAACACAGCGGUUUAAUGUCUGUUUUACGCGUUUUACGAAAUCAAAGCUAUGUAGUUCUGCUCCUUGGAGGUUUGCAAUUGCUUGGGAGGUUCUCUGUUGUGGUCAGCAUUGGAGCUUUGUGUCAUCUGUGGUCAGCAUUGGUCAGCAUCUGUGUCAUCUAAAUUGAAAUUUGAGUGUCUUUUCCAAGGUUCUCUGUUGUGGCUAUCUCUGAUGCGUGUUUGUGGUGAAGUUCUGUUUUUUUAAACAAUCUUUAUCUGAUUGAUACUUGACAAUCUUGUUACUUGAUGAUGGUGUUCUAGUUAUAGUCUCUAAAUGGGCAGAGAAAAUCACAUUUGAUGCAUAACAUAAGCUCCAAUGCUGACCUGUGUCAUCUAAAUUGAAAUUUGAGUGUCUUUUCCAUCUAGUGACAGGUUGUGUGAGAAAAAAAGCUUAUUGCUUAGAUUAUACAUUUCUCUAAAUGAAAGGUUGAGGACUUUUGUGUUUCAGCUUAGAUAGGAUUUCACCAACAAUGCCAAAUCUGCUAUUGCUUCUAUGAGAGGAUUGUCAGAGCUACUAAAUCAUCUGGUCGGGCGGACCUCACACUUCUAUUCCCUGCAGCGGCAGCUCCCCUUGCGGCAAGACUGCAUAAUUUAUUCAUUCAACCUCAGUGAACAGAGACAAAAGCAAAAUAAAUAUCAAACACACCCAGAGACAAAGAUCUCUCUGGAUUACCUUAGCCAAGGUGUUUCCCAGGAACGGCAACAUCUUCUUUUGUCCUCGUCGAAUUGGAGAGCCUAGGGUUUUCAAGAUUAGGGAUCUUAGUUCCAAAUUUAUUAUUAAAAAGUGUUACUUCCCUGCUACACACGGCUCAAAUCUAUUAGGAUUUUUUUUAAAUAUUAUUGGACAAAAACACAUAGGCAAUAAUUAGUGCUGAAGAUCUACAAAUGUUCAUGAGANNNNNNNNNNNNNNNNNNNNNNNNNNNNNNNNNNNNNNNNNNNNNNNNNNNNNNNNNNNNNNNNNNNNNNNNNNNNNNNNNNNNNNNNNNNNNNNNNNNNNNNNNNNNNNNNNNNNNNNNNNNNNNNNNNNNNNNNNNNNNNNNNNNNNNNNNNNNNNNNNNNNNNNNNNNNNNNNNNNNNNNNNNNNNNNNNNNNNNNNNNNNNNNNNNNNNNNNNNNNNNNNNNNNNNNNNNNNNNNNNNNNNNNNNNNNNNNNNCCAUUGAGUCCAAGUUCAAAUAAUUUUUUUUCAACUAUUCUUAAUUAUUAUUUUUUUCUUUUCUUAAUAUAAUUUAAGCAUUCAUAAAAAUAAUUGAAUUUUUUUAUUGAAAAGUAUAAAUCUUUAUUAAAAGUAUAUAAUUUUUUAAUUAAAAUAUUAACCCCAUAAUAAAAUUAAUUUAUCAGAGUUAUACCAACUUAAUUCAUUAAAAAAAUAAAGUUUAAUUUUUUUUAACAUAAAUAGUCAUUUAAAAUGAAAUACGAUAAAUAAAGAUAAAAAAUUUAAGUCUUUUAUAAAAUAAAGCACAAAUAUAUGAAAAUGUGACAUUUACUAAAAUAUUUGUCAAUUGAAAAAAAAAACAAAAAUAAACCUGCGCUUUGAAAGCGCGGGUCAAAAUCUAGUAGAGUAUUACAAUAACAACAAUAUAAAGAGUUUUACCAAAAGAACAAAAAAUAUAAAGAGUAUUAUGAUGGUUGAGCAGAGCUGCAGGUCCUUGUCAUCUUCUUUCAUGUUUGUUCUCUCCAUUUAUAGGAAAUAUGUCAUAGAAUGUACUUAAAAUAAAAUUGAGUAAAACAGAGAAAAUUUGAUAUCUAGAUUUGUAUUAAUAAGCCAUAGAAAACGUUAUAUUGAUUAUGAUUGUACAUGGAUAAACGUAAUGUAUGUAAACGUAAAUUUUAUAUCAUUGCUGUAGGAAAAAAACCGUAAGAUUUAUAACAAUGAAACACUUACUUCUUCCUUUUUGAUAAUGUGAUGUAGCUCCUUAUUUUGUAAUUCAACCACAAAUGAAAAGUAAAUAUAUAAUUUUUUUUUCUUCGGGAAGCACCAUGGUAUAAAUUUUGUUUGUCAGAUAUAUAACGUAGAAAAGAAAGCAGAGUAGGUUUGCAACAUAUAUAUAUAGGAUGGAGAUGAAGAAGAAAAAAAAACAGUUUCAAAACACCAAACUAACACAAGACCAGAAGCAAGCCACUAUUAAAUUAGUACGAGAGUGCGGAAAAAACACCAAACAAGGCAACACAAAAGACAAUCAAUUGUCGCCUAGACAUUAUCAUCCAGUUCCUGCCAUUCAUGAAAUAAAACAAAUGUGGUUUGAACAUAUGAUUUAUUUAAUAAAAUGUAUCAAACUUGAAUUACCUUUUCAUUACGGGCACGUUUCUCUUCAAGACGCUUCUUCUCAUCAUCAAAAAAUCUGUGUACUCUAUACCAAUCCUCUCUUCUCUUUAAAAGAUCUGAAAGAUACAUUCAUUGGAAACAGGAAAGAAAAAUAGUUACCUUCUAGAGAAUUAGUGUUGGAAACAUCUAUAAAAUUAAUUCAAAAAACCAUACUUAUGGAAGCUUUGACGAACCAUCCACCAAAGAACGCUAAACCAAGAACUAAUCCGUCCUGCUCCUCCCAAGCAUGCUUGACCCUCGUGGACAUGGGGGCAGAGGCGAUGGAUGAGAUCCCUUUCCGACAAUACUGCAUAUCCCGACGACACAGACAAGACUACAAUCACGAAUACAGAGAAAUCGAGAGGGAGAGAUCCGGAAUAAAAUAUGAUUCUUAGCUUAACCUUGGCCAAAAUCAUUUGCGCGUGCUUCAUCAUCAUCUUUUGUUCCGCUGAGUGCUUCCUUUGGGUGUAAAAUUAGGGCUUCUGCUUUCCUUUGUUAGUUUAUUUACUUGUGGCCCAAAUCAAAGCACUACUCGUGUUUCCUUGAAUGAUUUGAAUCAAUUUUUGUAAUAAAUAUAUCUUCUAUGUAUUUUAUAAUUCUACAAAUUGAUCAUGUUUUUUUUUUAAGAAAAAAAUCUCUGUUUUCUUAUCAUAUUAUUUUCAAAAAAAAAUUAUAUUGCUAAUUUGUUUUCAUAAGGUAAUGAAAAUUGAAUCUUGAGGGUGGUAAGUUCAUUUUCCACAGAACAGUUCUCCUCUAGCCCCAACCCGAAAAUGCUAUAUCAUAUCGCUCUUUAGAUUCUCAUAUACCGCAGGUCAUCCGUGAGACCAACUCAUGAUUGGCCGAUAAAGCAGAAGCUCUUCACUUUGGAUGUUAUGUACUUUCCCGACAAACCGAAUCCUGAUAACUGUCCUCAAGAUGUGUAUGGCUCUCUUGUUGAUGCUGUAGGACAUGUUUCAGACAUGUCUAAUAAGUCUUCCAAGUUAUAUUUGGUUCAACGUACAACAUGUGGAUCGUCUUGGAGAAAAUAGUGAGUUUCAUGCAUAUCCAUACGUAGAAGGUGUUGUUGGUCUUAGUGAACCAAUAAUAUCUACAAUCGGUGGCAAAGAAGAUUUCCCAAGAAACGAACUCUCGUUAAGUCUUGCCACAGAUGUUUCUGAUGAGUGCUCGGAGACAAGUCUUUGUGCUGCUUAAAUCUACUAGAGGAACCUCAGAGCAAGCUUCUUCCAGCAGCAAACACGUUUCUAAUAACGUCUCUCAAGUGAUAUUUGGCUCAAAGUACCUUCACUCCGUUCAAGAAAUACUAUCUCAUUUCGCCACAUACUCCCUCAACGGCAUAGAGACUAAUCCUCAAUGCUACUUUUCUUCUCGAGGAACCGAGUCAGAGGGUACAAACUCAGCCUUUG